This 156-nucleotide ribosomal RNA is filed under the name Rufoplaca toktoana. Its description in RNAcentral is "Rufoplaca sp. SHJ-2019b 5.8S ribosomal RNA". It matches the Rfam family "5.8S ribosomal RNA". Rfam says of the family: 5.8S ribosomal RNA (5.8S rRNA) is a component of the large subunit of the eukaryotic ribosome. It is transcribed by RNA polymerase I as part of the 45S precursor that also contains 18S and 28S rRNA. Lineage: Eukaryota; Fungi; Ascomycota; Lecanoromycetes; Teloschistales; Teloschistaceae. The record is from RNAcentral.
AACUUUCAACAACGGAUCUCUUGGUUCUGGCAUCGAUGAAGAACGCAGCGAAAUGCGAUAAGUAAUGUGAAUUGCAGAAUUCAGUGAACCAUCGAAUCUUUGAACGCACAUUGCGCCCUUUGGUAUCCCGAAGGGCAUGCCUGUUCGAGCGUCAUU